RNAcentral lists this long non-coding RNA (2800 nucleotides) under Medicago truncatula (barrel medic). RNAcentral's name for it is "long non-coding RNA (MTRU_LNC006927)". Lineage: Eukaryota; Viridiplantae; Streptophyta; Magnoliopsida; Fabales; Fabaceae. The record is from RNAcentral.
GUUUGGAUUGAACACUUGAUAUACUAUCAGUGGUGUUCACAAUACGAAUAAAAUACAGACUCUUAAGACUCUAGAAUUUCUAAGAUAUAAAAGUUUAUAAGAAAAUAUUAGUGAACUGAUGUGCAACAAUUUCAGCCGAGUUUUGGCACAGGUAAAUUAUUGUUCAGUCUCUACAAAUCUUCAAGUCUUCAUUCCUUUAUAUAGAGGUAUGAGACAUACGUUGUAGAAAUGCCAGCACAUCAAAAGAUUCGUUUUAGAAGUUUGAUCAUCACCAAUGAUCUAUUGCUUGAUUUGGUUAAUGUCCUAGGAGGGAAUAAUUUGAAAUCCAUUCCUUGUUUGGAGAAUUAAACAGUGUAGACACAGUUGUAGUUGUACUAUGUGCAGACAAGAGUCAAGAGUGGAGUAGUGGUUGUACAAUUGUCCUUUUUAUGCGCUCUUUAGUGAAUAAGUAUUCAAUGCCUUCUAAUUCCUCUGAAAUUGUCGUUGCUCUAGGCUUUUAUUCCUUCUCCAAACUUAUGUCUUAAAAUAACCAAAUAUAACUAACUCCAGGUUCUUAACUUGAAACUCUGACGAACUUCAGACUCUGGCAGUCAGCUUCUGAUGUUCUUCAAACUUUGAUGGUCUUCAGACUCUGACUUUCAACAUAAGCUUGCUUUGUAAAUUCCAUUGCUCUCAUUUGUUAUUACAGAACCAAUACUUAGUUUUAAGACUCGUAAAAUUUUUAGUCUAUGGUCCUGCACACUUGAACAAAUAUUAGCAUAGCCAAUUGAACUUUUAAUUUCAUGUUAUCAUCAAAACUUAAGCUGAAAAUGUUAAACAAAUUUUGUUCCAACAUAUUCUAGUUUUUAUUGAAGCAAUAAUUCUAUGUCAAGUCAAUUUUGAUUGUCAAGAGGAUAUGUGUUCCCCUCCUAAAAAGCCUUGGUGCGAUAUCUGAAUAUGAAUGUAUUUGUGUAAAUGUUCCCGUAAUUAUAUGAAUUUGUUGAAGUUGAUGAUUUUUGGAUAAUUAUUUUAUCAACAAAUAAUAUUUUAUUAAAAAAAAUCACAUCAUUUUAGAAUGUUUAAUAAGUGUGUUUUUUUUUUUUUAGGGAAAUAAGUGUGUAUUUUAUGGACCGUAGUUUUUCAUUUUUACAUCCAACCAACGGCCAAAUGUGAAGCAAUUUCUAAUAAAAGAGGUUGAAUGAAAAAAGUACCAUGAAAGCGAAUGACAUUUAAAAACUAAAUUUUACAAUAAAAAAAAUAGAAAAAUUACAUCAAAGUGCUAACAAAACAAUUCAUCAUAAUGUUGGGCUUAGAAAGCGAGCAUACACUCAGUUGUAUCAUCAUAAUCGACUAAGUAAGUAUUUCAUCAAUUCAGCAUAACACAUCGACAAUUUUCCAUUGUCAAAUCUCACCGAAGAUUUUUUUUUAUAGGCAAUGAGAUAAGUGAGACAACAAGUUGUUUCUGACAGACAGAUACCCCAUCCUAUGCCGCCUACUCAUAAUAUAUUAAAUCCCACCAAAGAUAAAGUGAUGUAAUUUCAAAUAAUAGAUGUUGAAUAAAAAUAAUUAGCGUCGAAACGAAUGACAUCCAAAAAUUAAAAUUUAAGAUUAAUUAUUUUUUAUGCAAAUGAUAUCCAAAACAAAUAAAACAUCUCAUCAUAAUAUUGUGACUGUUGGGGGAGCAUAAAUUGAGUUGGAUAAUCGUGUUAGGUUAAGAUCAACCAUAAUUUAAGAAUGCAAAAUUUUAACCAAUUAUUGGUACGACUAUCUAUACUAGUACAGGAGAAAUUGAUAUUGUUUGUAUCAACGAUAACACUAACUUAAGUAGUAGCCAUAGCCUAAUAAUCACAUCAAAUCUAACAAAUUUUUACCUCUUUAGUAAGUUCCACUUUUGUUUUUUGUAAGUUCCACUUUCUAUCAUGAAACGUUAAAGAAUAAAGCAAAUUUAAAAAAUUAGAAUGAAUUUCGAGGAUUGUUAAAAAGAAAAAUAUGUUACCUCCUUAUUGAGGGUGUUUAAAAGACAAACAUGACACUUUGAUGUCCUUAAGAGAGAUUUAAUUAUAAGCUUUUAUGUUAUCAUAUUAUUAUGAUUGUAAGUUUUUUUAUGUCACCUCUUUACUAAGGGUGUUAAAAAGACAAACAUGACUCUUUGAUGUAUUUAAAAGAGAUUUAACUGUAAGAUUUUAUGUAACCACUCUACCAUGUAAGAUAUUUAGUAAUGAUUAUAAUUUUAGGAAGGUUGUUAACAUCUUCAUAAGAUAUGAAAACUAUUUAAUGUACGUAAGGCAAAAAAUAAGUUUCAUAAAUAAUAAAUUGAUAAAAAUAUAUUCUAUCUCUUACAUCGAAAGAGGAGAAAAUAUGACUGAAAUUAUCAAGUUUGUUAAUGUUAUGAUUAUUUUGCUUUCAGUAUUUAUUAUUGCAAUGAACGUCAACGGUAAUCCAUUUUCUAUGUUACUCAAAUUUUAUUAGUUCCUUCCUACAUAAUAUUUUUCUCAUAUAGUUACACCCUUUUAUUAUUUAUUUUUUUAUUACAGCAUCACCAGUGUUAUGUCAACGCAAUUAUGAAUGUUACGAGCAAAUAUGCUUGCCUCCUAAAAAACAUUGGUGCAAUAUAUUAGAGCUAGUUCGGAUCAACGGAUUCUAUCUAGGCCUUUGUGCAUGUAUUUGAGUGAAUGUGCUUAUAAAAUUCUGCUAGAAUUUUCAUAAGUUGUCUUUUAGUAAAUGUGCAAGAACCCAUAAUUUGUAUUUUAUUCACUUUCUAAUUUCAUGGACCCAUGAUAAUUUGUAUUUUAUUUCGGGUCUGUCGCUAUUUUCUGACUCA